AGAGAGAGACAUGCGCGCAUAUCAAUAAGCGGAGGAAAAGAAACUAACAAGGAUUCCCUAGUAACGGCGAGUGAAGCGGGAAGAGCUCAGAUUUGAAAUCUUCAAGGUUCUACCUUGACGAAUUAUAGUUUAUAGAAGUGUUUUCUGUUAGUGGAGUGGCAAAAGUUCUUUGGAAUAGGACAUCAUAGAGGGUGAGAAUCCCGUAUUUGGUCAUUCCUCCUAGCGUUGUGAUACACUUUCAACGAGUCGGAUUGUUUGGGAAUGCAGUCCAAAAUGGGUGGUAAAUUUCAUCUAAAGCUAAAUAUUGGCGAGAGACCGAUAGCGAACAAGUACCGUGAGGGAAAGAUGAAAAAGAACUUUGAAAAGAGAGUUAAACAGUACGUGAAAUUGUCAAAAGGGAAGCGUUUGACACCAGUGUUGUUUUUCCGGAAAAUCAAUUACGAAUGUUUUGUUUUUGAGGAGUUAUGACUUCAUCGGCUUGCUCCUUUCUUUAUGAAACUUUCUUAAUGCACUUUUCGGUUAACAAGUCAACAUCAAUUUCUUUUGUUGUAAAAGGGUAUGAGGAAGGUGGCUUUCUUUUCGGAGAAAGUGUUUAUAGCCUUGUGCCUCUGCAAUCGGAGAGAUUGAGGUCUGCAGCGUAGAUCCUUCGGGGUUAGAUACAGUUUGUGCUAAGUUAUAGCUUUUCAUAGACAACUUGUUGACUAUGUUUAGUCUUGUAGCUUACUCGCUUACUGCUAUUUUACCUACGCUUAGGAUGUUGAUAGUCACAGCGUGUAC
Molecule: ribosomal RNA, 777 nt
Filed under: uncultured Neocallimastigales
Lineage: Eukaryota; Fungi; Neocallimastigomycota; Neocallimastigomycetes; Neocallimastigales
Description: partial large subunit ribosomal RNA
Rfam family: Eukaryotic large subunit ribosomal RNA
Source: RNAcentral